RNAcentral lists this long non-coding RNA (2666 nucleotides) under Solanum lycopersicum (tomato). Its description in RNAcentral is "long non-coding RNA (SLYC_LNC000162)". Lineage: Eukaryota; Viridiplantae; Streptophyta; Magnoliopsida; Solanales; Solanaceae. The record is from RNAcentral.
UGGCAUCUUGCAGGCAUUUGAAAUUUCCUAACUUAAAACUAGUAGCAAAUAUCAACAAGCAAAUAGACGAAAGCAAAUGGAGGGAGAGAGAGAAAGACAAAGUUGGGUCCAAAUUCGGUUUUUGACCGCUUGUAUCGAUAUUUGGACCUAUUUUUGUUUUGUACAUGUCCUAGACUAAUCAGACAAUUAAUAAAUAAUAAAUAUAGAAAACAAAAGACUACAGGGGCUUAGGUAGGCCCAAAGAUGAUAAAAUACAACGUUAAAAUAAAUUUGGGAUUCUUGGCCCAAAAUCUUCAACUUCUUGGAGUUUUGAGUCCUUCCGACUUUAGGACAUGUACGCCUUUUUCGGGGUCAACUCGAAGGUAGCAAUUUGAGUUUAUGACUAACACGGACAAAUUCACAUGAAACGGACAAAGCAAAGGGAAAGGAAUUAGCAUAGGGUAGGAUUCAAUCUCUUGGCAAAAUAUUUUUAAAACACAAGUUGCAUAAAUGAGGCAAUCCACGUAGUAUAUACCAAAUAACUCAAACAAAUUUUAGCUAGAGGCAUGAUUACAAGUAUACGACAAGCAAUUAAUGAAUAGAAGAUGGAAACUGCAAACAUAAUUAAUCGACCAAAGAAUAAUCGGGAAGCGAGGAGACGCAAAAUAUUUCUCACAAUUUAACAUCACAAAGCAAAUCAAUUGAAAUACAAAUGGUAAUAGUAACACUGCCGAAAGUCAUUUAUUUAUUAUUUUUAUUUAUCUUUUUUUUUAAAGAAAAAAAAAAGAAAUGAAGGCCUCAAAUUAACAGCAUGACAACUAUGCACUUUCAUAACCGUGUAAGCAGCAAAAAUUAAACAUUAAUCAACAAGAUGAACAAAUACAGACAGAGGGAACAACAUUAUGUCAAGAUGAAUAUUCUCAUACUUAAGUUAUGAUCUUAAUCACAAAUAAAUCACACUUCAUAUUUUUUUUUAAAAAAAAUGCAACUAUAAAAACCCCUUCUUACAUUGAUCCAAACAUUGAAACAAUAAGAGAUUCAAUAAUUUUGAAGCAAAGUAAUAAACCUACAAAAUGAAGUCUAUCUAAAAGAACCCGAGAUUGGACUAUACAAAAACCCCAAACUCAAAGGUACUACCAAAUUACCUUGCUCAUAAUUUUAAAGUGAUUUGAAUUACUGCUUCAUCGACAAACACAACAUUUAAUAGGUUUGAUAUGAGAAAUAAUGCAGCAAACUUCAGUCCGAGAGGCAGACAACCAACGGACGUUUAAGAAAAAAAAACUACUUGAGAAAGUCACCCUGAUGCCUUGAUCACAUGAGAACGCUACUGACACAAACUCAGUCAACAGAGAGGUCACAGCAUUGAGCAUAAACCCAUGGAAAAGGCUUUAACUCGACAUUGCGACUCAAUUGCUGAAACGACUAAGAAACAUAUACACAUCCCAUCAUCAGCAAGCUUGCAGGUAUUAACAAUGAAUGGUCAUAAGACCAAAACUUUUCAACAUUUUGAAAAUAUCACAUGAGGAACGAAGGUGAGAGGAUACCGAAAAGGAGGGAGUAUUACAUGAAGUAAAUUAUUUCGACAGGUUCAUAUUAAAACUAUGACAAAACAGACCACUUUUUUGAAGCAAAAAUGAGAAAGACAGAUCACUUACUUAAGAGACCACAUCAGAUAAGUUAGUACGAAGUUCUAAUCUCAACCUCCUCGGACAUGGGUCUUGGGGAGAUUAAAUUAAAGGGUUAAAAUGCACAAGAAAGAGCUUUUACUGAUCUGUAAAUGAUUCUUUGUGAAAUGCUAAAGAGCAGCCCCGGAAACACUUAAACAAAGAUGACGAAUAGCCUUAAAAUACGUACAGAGAAAAAGGUGAUGAAUAUAACAUAAUGCUACUAUUGAUAGACCACGAAAUCUCUAACAAUAUAAGUACAACAUUAUCUUGUCCCCAAACUUAAUCACCAAACACUUCCAAAUAUGAAAGAGAACACUGUAGCAGACAAUAAAAUCACGUGAAAGGGAAGCUAUUACCUACUUUUUUGCAGCGAUACUGGAUAUAGACGAGUAGUGAUAGCGACUCCACAACCUCUGAAAACGCGAAGACGAAUGAAAGAGUGUAAAUCUGGAUAGCAACUUAAUUCAAACGUGUAACUGUGAAUCGCUCUCUUUUUUUUCGAAACAUAUUCAGCACACAUUCAAAGAGACGCUUUUGCUCGAAUUUUCCUUUUGCUAAGCAGAAUCAAACUAAAAUUCCUUUCUAUAAAUUUUUGUCCGUCUUCUUCACUAUGAAUAGAAAAGAAUAUAUAUGGGAGAGAGAUUAGGGUUUUUUCAGAUUUUUUGGGGGGAAAUGGAAAACGGAUAGAUCAAGUCCUAUUCCAAAAAAUUCAAAUCUUAAGAGAAAAGCUUCACCAUUUUUGGGGAAAUCUCUUUUUCUGGAGUUCUUUUACCACAAUCCGAAAGAGCAAAGGGGAACGGACAGCUUGAUCGAUUCCAUCAUCCGUCGGGUGUGACUGAGAGUGACGUUUGGAGAAGAAAACAAAGUUGCAACGUACUACCUGUACCGCUCGUCUCUUUAUGAACGUCGGCGUGGCUGAUUCCGUCAACUCUCUCUCGCGUGCGUGCAGGGUUGAUUCGGGGUUGCUUGGACGUUCACGCGUCGUUUUCCGUUUACUCUGUUCAAAAGACACUGAUGAAA